UAAGUAGACCAGACAUUUUAUUAGAAAUAAUGCAAACCUUGUACAGAAUUCAAAUGAUGGGUAUAACAGUAAUAUUUUUAUGGGUUCCUCCGCAUAUUGGUGUUCAAGAAAAUGAAAUUGUAGAAAAGGAAGCAAAACAAGCUGUUAAAAAUAAUGACAUCACUACAAUGUAAGUAUAAGUAAAAUGAAGUCAAGAGUAUUAUUGAGAAAAGAAUGAAAGAAAGGUGGCAAAGACAAUGGGACAAUGAAAAAAAGGGCCGAAGGUUUUACAAAAUUCAUAAGAAAGUAGGAGAAAUGAGAAGUGUAGGAAAAAACAGGAGAGAGGAGAUAAUAAUAUCAAGGAUGAGAUUUGGGCACACAAAAUUAAAUAGUACACUUUUUAAAAUGGGUAAACAUGGUACAGGACAAUG
Molecule: long non-coding RNA, 410 nt
Filed under: Danio rerio (zebrafish)
Lineage: Eukaryota; Metazoa; Chordata; Actinopteri; Cypriniformes; Danionidae
Description: lncRNA si:dkey-200j6.5 (ENSDARG00000096190.2)
Source: RNAcentral